UUCUUUAUGAUUUUUAUGUAAAGUAAUUUCUGCCCAAUGAUUUUUUAAAUGGCUGCAGUAUAUUGACUGUACAAAGGUAGCAUAAUAAUUAGUUUUUUAAUUGGAAACUUGAAUGAAAGGAUAAAUGAGAAAUUAUCUUUAUUAAUUUUAAUAUUAAAAUUUAAAUUUUUGGUUAAAAUGCCAAAUUUUGUUUUAGGGACGAUAAGACCCUAUAGAAUUUAUAAUUUUAUAUUAGUUAUUAUUUGUUUUAGAUUAAUUUAAUUUAAUUAAUUUAAAUUUUUAAUUGGGGUGAUUAAUAAAUUUAGACUUUAUUUUUUUUAUUCAUUUAUUUAUGUUAAUUUAGAUCCUUAUUUAAGAUUGUAAGAUAAAUUACCUUAGGGAUAACAGCGUAAUUUUAAUGGAAAGUUCAUAUUUAAAUUAGAGUUUGCGACCUCGAUGUUGAAUUAAGAUUAAUUUUUGGUGAAGAAGCUUUAAUUAUAAGUCUGUUCGACUUUUAUAAUCUUACA
Molecule: ribosomal RNA, 506 nt
Filed under: Taharana serrata
Lineage: Eukaryota; Metazoa; Arthropoda; Insecta; Hemiptera; Cicadellidae
Description: partial large subunit ribosomal RNA
Rfam family: Bacterial large subunit ribosomal RNA (bases 380-506)
Source: RNAcentral